RNAcentral lists this ribosomal RNA (510 nucleotides) under uncultured bacterium. RNAcentral describes it as "partial 16S ribosomal RNA". It matches the Rfam family "Bacterial small subunit ribosomal RNA", at positions 28 to 507 of the family's 1533-position model. The record is from RNAcentral.
GACGAACGCUGGCGGCGUGCUUAACACAUGCAAGUCGAACGAAGAGCGAUGGAAGCUUGCUUCUAUCAAUCUUAGUGGCGCACGGGUGAGUAACGCGUAAUCAACCUGCCCUUCAGAGGGGGACAACAGUUGGAAACGACUGCUAAUACCGCAUACGAUCUAAUCUCGGCAUCGAGGAUAGAUGAAAGGUGGCCUCUACAUGUAAGCUAUCACUGCAGGAGGGGAUUGCGUCUGAUUAGCUAGUUGGAGGGGUAACGGCCCACCAAGGCGAUGAUCAGUAGCCGGUCUGAGAGGAUGAACGGCCACAUUGGGACUGAGACACGGCCCAGACUCCUACGGGAGGCAGCAGUGGGGAAUCUUCCGCAAGGGACGAAAGUCUGACGGAGCAACGCCGCGUGAGUGAUGACGGCCUUCGGGUUGUAAAGCUCUGUUAAUCGGGACGAAAGGCCUUCUUGCGAAUAGUGAGAAGGAUUGACGGUACCGGAAGAGAAAGCCACGGCUAACUACGUG